RNAcentral lists this ribosomal RNA (253 nucleotides) under uncultured bacterium. RNAcentral's name for it is "partial 16S ribosomal RNA". It matches the Rfam family "Bacterial small subunit ribosomal RNA", at positions 524 to 776 of the family's 1533-position model. The record is from RNAcentral.
UACGUAGGGGGCAAGCGUUGUCCGGAUUUAUUGGGCGUAAAGAGCGUGUAGGCGGUUAGGUAGGUCCGUUGUGAAAACUCGAGGCUCAACCUCGAGACGCCGAUGGAAACCAUCUGACUAGAGUCCGGAAGAGGAGAGUGGAAUUCCUGGUGUAGCGGUGAAAUGCGCAGAUAUCAGGAAGAACACCCGCGGCUAAGGCGGCUCUCUAGUACGUGACUGACGCUGAGACGCGAAAGCGUGGGGAGCGAACGGG